Molecule: ribosomal RNA, 394 nt
Filed under: Escherichia coli
Lineage: Bacteria; Pseudomonadati; Pseudomonadota; Gammaproteobacteria; Enterobacterales; Enterobacteriaceae
Description: bacterial SSU rRNA
Rfam family: Bacterial small subunit ribosomal RNA
Source: RNAcentral
CUGUGAGACAGGUGCUGCAUGGCUGUCGUCAGCUCGUGUUGUGAAAUGUUGGGUUAAGUCCCGCAACGAGCGCAACCCUUAUCCUUUGUUGCCAGCGGUCCGGCCGGGAACUCAAAGGAGACUGCCAGUGAUAAACUGGAGGAAGGUGGGGAUGACGUCAAGUCAUCAUGGCCCUUACGACCAGGGCUACACACGUGCUACAAUGGCGCAUACAAAGAGAAGCGACCUCGCGAGAGCAAGCGGACCUCAUAAAGUGCGUCGUAGUCCGGAUUGGAGUCUGCAACUCGACUCCAUGAAGUCGGAAUCGCUAGUAAUCGUGGAUCAGAAUGCCACGGUGAAUACGUUCCCGGGCCUUGUACACACCGCCCGUCACACCAUGGGAGUGGGUUGCAAA